Anser cygnoides (Swan goose) is the source of this 1555-nucleotide long non-coding RNA. The record is from Ensembl. Lineage: Eukaryota; Metazoa; Chordata; Aves; Anseriformes; Anatidae.
GGGCCCGGCGGCUGGGCGGGGGCCCCCCGAGCGCUCAGGCAGGCGGGGAGCGGGCGGUGCGGGGCCGGGGGAGCCGGGGCGCAGCCGCCGCCGCUGUUUGUUAUUGUCGUCAGCCGCUUCCGGAGCCGGGGAACGCCGGGAGGGGGCGGCCCCGGGGAGGAACCGGGCGACGGAAGCGGUGGGGCAGGGCCUCGCUUCUCCUCCUCGUAUCGCCGGCGCGGCCGCCGGGCUGAUUUCAGCCCCCCCGACGCCUGGGAACGGCCCGCUCUGCCCUCCCCAGGCUGUGGGGAUCCUCUCGCCGCCUCCCUGAGUUGGCUCAUGAGUUCUUUGUGAUUUGUUUUUUGGCACGAAGCAGCCCCUGAGUCUCCUCGGGGGCUGGCCCCUUGUUCCUAUGCUGGGAAAGCGAAAAUAAACUUUGUACGCCUCGCUUUCGGGUUUCUCUUUUAUUUUUGGUUUCUCUAGUGGUCUAGUCACGUACGAAAGAGCAGGAUAGCGGGCGGCGUGAGGGGGUUUGCCUCAGCUGCAGGUGGGGGUCACGGUGCUUGGGUUCAGGACAUCCUUAGAAGAAGCAAGGCUCCCUUAUGUCAUAUCUUUUCCGUAUCAUAUUCUUGUGUUAUAUUUUAUGCGUAUUGUUGGGUCUUAUGUGCUGCAGCACCGUGACCUCUCCUGUAACCUAAACCAUAGGCAGCAGGUCAGGGAAUAGAAGAAAUUCAAAGCACAAUGCCGCGGUCAGAAUAGGAAGCAAGCGCAUAAGAGGAGGGAUGCAAAGUGAGAGCACAGGCAUCUCAUUUUCAGCCUGCAGGACAGAUGGCAUUUAGUAAAAUAACUAGGGUCAUUAUAAAGAACAUUUUCUUCCCCCCUCACCUGAGGUUUCUUCUUAGGCCUCUAAGUCUCAUCUCAUGUGCACAGCCCUUCACCCAAUUUUAUUUUUUCCUUAGUUCAUCAGCCAAAAAAACACGCUUUCUCACAAGCUAGACCAGGCUUAUGGUUUUCACGGUAAACCCUGAAGUAGUUAUUUCUGUCAGGAUGAAGAGCUUCCUGCCUGUCUGUCAUGUUAAAGACAACAAUGAACAGCCACAGCUUGUGCAGACAGCAUCAGUUCUGUACCACAGAAAUACAGAAUGGUUGAGGUUGGAAGGGACCCCUGGAAGUCAUCUGGACCAACCCCGCUGCUCGAGCAGGGACCCAGGAUCAUAACCCCGUGGCUUCUGAAGAUAAACAAGUAUCAUAGACUUAUGGAGGAAAACCUAUCCAACAGAGACAUGAAAAAAUUCACUUUCCAUGGGAAAUGAAAAUACAGCCUGACAAGUUUGUGUGAGCAUUUGGUAAGGACUCCAGUGCAGACAUUCCUGGCAUAAUGUUGUUGUAGGUGUAGGAGCAAGUUAGAUAUGGAACAAGAAAUGCUUUAAAUAACGUAUAACAUAAAGCUCAGCUCAAAACUGUUCUUUAUGCAUAGUUUUUAAACCAUUAAAAAUCUUCUGAUGACAGAGCAGCAAACUUGCUACUGCACAGAAUGCAUCCUUUCAUUUCCAGUUUUGUGGUUAAAUACUAGAGC